UGGUUUUCCAUCAGAUGACUGGGGUUAAAGUAGCCUCCAUUUUUUCCUAAAGCCCACGGAGCACAUUUUAAUGCGUUGAAUUGAGUUUGGGAAAUCCAUGUUGUAUGAGUACGAGCCAUUCUAUAUAUGGUUAGUUGAUCUGCGUCCAGUUAUGCCAGGAUGUCUUUUGAAGAAUGUCUCAGUUUGUGCUCUUUAUAGCAGUGAACUUGGAGGAAAGCCAAAAUAUCCGUUUGCCGUUGUUACUGUGAGAAAAAUAGCAAUUGCAGCUGUUUGCCAUUAGUUUUGAAUCUGAUGUUUUUGGAGCAGUUUAGUUCCAGCCAAACUGAAUCUUUGAACCAAGGUCAGUGUGCUAGGCUUAAACUGAAAUGUUUUCUCUUAAAUGCCGAACAAGCAUUUCAACGUCAUUUCAAAAAAGGGAAGAAAUUUGUCUGAAUCCAUUUUUAGGGACUGAGUCACCGCUAAUCAGCCAUGCGCUGCCUGAAUGAGAGGUCCUAGUCAGGACCCAACUUGGAGCUCGAGUCCUGCUGACAUCCUAUGAAAAAGUUCUGCACAUGGCAACUGUCAGCUUACUUAUCUUGCCAAAAGCAGGAGAGGCUUGCUGUAUAAAAUGGGGAAUAAAUAGCUCCAAAGUUCUGGUCUUCAAAAAAUAAAUAACAUAUUAAAAAAUGUGAUCUUUCUUCGCAGCUGUAGUUUGAAUUGAAGUGGAAUUGGACCACAAGCUCCAGUGCUGGGAGAAAGUUCAUCUUACAGUGGCUCCUUCAAAUUAGGUUCGCCCUCAAGUUACAUAUGCCAAAGGCCAGCAUUCCCUGACAUUCAGGUGCUGCCUGGCCUGCUGAGUUCCUCCAGCAUUUUGUGACUGCUUUGGGGCUGAUGGCUUAAAAAAAAAUCUGAGAAGCACCAGAAUAAUUCUUUAGGCUAUCAGGAAGUAAUCGACCUGCAAGUGUGUUCUGAUUCUUUUCAGUCCUUCACAGUAUAUUGCUGUCUCAAACAAUGCUGGCAUUUAUUGUCCCCAGGACUCUAGAGACAGAUCAGUUAAACUACAUUGAUUCAUU
This is a long non-coding RNA of Mobula hypostoma (lesser devil ray), 1052 nucleotides long. RefSeq lists it as uncharacterized. NCBI's taxonomy places the organism in Eukaryota, Metazoa, Chordata, Chondrichthyes, Myliobatiformes, Myliobatidae. The transcript is spliced from 3 exons. The record is from RefSeq and is a predicted model, not a curated record.